AUCAUGGCUCAGGACGAACGCUGGCGGCACGCUUAACACAUGCAAGUCGAACGAGAGAAGAGGAGCUUGCUUUUCUGAUCUAGUGGCGGACGGGUGAGCAACACGUGAGCAAUCUGCCUUUCAGAGGGGGAUACCGAUUGGAAACGAUCGUUAAUACCGCAUAACAUAAUUGAACCGCAUGAUUUGAUUAUCAAAGAUUUAUCGCUGAAAGAUGAGCUCGCGUCUGAUUAGCUAGUUGGUAAGGUAACGGCUUACCAAGGCGACGAUCAGUAGCCGGACUGAGAGGUUGAUCGGCCACAUUGGGACUGAGACACGGCCCAGACUCCUACGGGAGGCAGCAGUGGGGAAUAUUGCACAAUGGAGGAAACUCUGAUGCAGCGAUGCCGCGUGAGGGAAGAAGGUUUUAGGAUUGUAAACCUCUGUCUUCAGGGACGAAAAAAGACGGUACCUGAGGAGGAAGCUCCGGCUAACUACGUGCCAGCAGCCGCGGUAAUACGUAGGGAGCGAGCGUUGUCCGGAAUUACUGGGUGUAAAGGGAGCGUAGGCGGGAUCGCAAGUCAGAUGUGAAAACUAUGGGCUUAACCCAUAAACUGCAUUUGAAACUGUGGUUCUUGAGUGAAGUAGAGGUAAGCGGAAUUCCUAGUGUAGCGGUGAAAUGCGUAGAUAUUAGGAGGAACAUCAGUGGCGAAGGCGGCUUACUGGGCUUUAACUGACGCUGAGGCUCGAAAGCGUGGGGAGCAAACAGGAUUAGAUACCCUGGUAGUCCACGCCGUAAACGAUGAUUACUAGGUGUGGGGGGACUGACCCCUUCCGUGCCGCAGCAAACGCAAUAAGUAAUCCACCUGGGGAGUACGACCGCAAGGUUGAAACUCAAAGGAAUUGACGGGGGCCCGCACAAGCAGUGGAGUAUGUGGAUUAAUUCGAAGCAACGCGAAGAACCUUACCAGGUCUUGACAUCGUAUGCAUAGCUCAGAGAUGAGUGAAAUCUCUUCGGAGACAUAUAGACAGGUGGUGCAUGGUUGUCGUCAGCUCGUGUCGUGAGAUGUUGGGUUAAGUCCCGCAACGAGCGCAACCCUUACUGUUAGUUGCUACGCAAGAGCACUCUAGCAGGACUGCCGUUGACAAAACGGAGGAAGGUGGGGAUGACGUCAAAUCAUCAUGCCCCUUAUGACCUGGGCCUCACACGUACUACAAUGGCUGUCAACAGAGGGAAGCAAAGCCGCGAGGUGGAGCGAACCCCUAAAAGCAGUCUUAGUUCGGAUUGUAGGCUGCAACCCGCCUACAUGAAGUCGGAAUUGCUAGUAAUCGCAGAUCAGCAUGCUGCGGUGAAUACGUUCCCGGGCCUUGUACACACCGCCCGUCACGCCAUGGGAGUCGGUAACACCCGAAGCCUGUAGUCUAACCGCAAGGAGGACGCAGUCGAAGGUGGGAUUGAUGACUGGGGUGAAGUCGUAACAAGGUA
This 1462-nucleotide ribosomal RNA is filed under the name metagenome. RNAcentral describes it as "bacterial SSU rRNA". It matches the Rfam family "Bacterial small subunit ribosomal RNA". The record is from RNAcentral.